GUGUCAGCAGCCGCGGUAAUACAGAGGGUGCAAGCGUUAAUCGGAAUUACUGGGCGUAAAGCGAGCGUAGGUGGCUUGAUAAGUCAGAUGUGAAAUCCCCGGGCUUAACCUGGGAACUGCAUCUGAUACUGUCAGGCUAGAGUAGGUGAGAGGAAGGUAGAAUUCCAGGUGUAGCGGUGAAAUGCGUAGAGAUCUGGAGGAAUACCGAUGGCGAAGGCAGCCUUCUGGCAUCAUACUGACACUGAGGCUUGAAAGCGUGGGUAGCAAACAGGAUUAGAUACCCGCGUAGUCC
This 292-nucleotide ribosomal RNA is filed under the name uncultured prokaryote. RNAcentral's name for it is "partial 16S ribosomal RNA". It matches the Rfam family "Bacterial small subunit ribosomal RNA", at positions 505 to 796 of the family's 1533-position model. The record is from RNAcentral.